CGGGGCGGGGAGGGGAGGGGCGGGGCGAUUGGCUCCCGCCCCAGCUCCUGAUUGGUCACUUUCUUCCCUCCCCUGUUCGAAAACUGGAAUCCAGCCAUGCGAAGCCUUCUUGUUACCCGGCAGCUACGUCUGUCUCCAGCCCUGCGCUGCUCCGGGCUGUCCGCAGAGAGUCUAGAAGCCCCCCAACUCGGAGCCGGGAAGAUGAAGUGAAGGUUUCCUCAGACAGCCCAACCUCUACAAGUGUUCCGGGUCCAACAGAAAGCAGGGAUGCCUUUCCUCGCUUGCAUUCUGGUUCACGCCAAGGAAAAGCUAGGUGAUGGAGCCUUUGCGUCCCUGGAAAGGGUGCCCGUCUUGAACCCAGGGGCUUCACCUCAAGCCCCCACCGCAGGAAGAUGGAAAAUGGAACAAGGAUCCCAUCCAAUAGAGGUACAAGCGGAAGGACUGUCACAGAGAUGAGAAAGGAGUGCACAUCUGGACAUGCGCGAGCCCUUCUCUCAUCAGAUCCAGCUUAAAGAGGGAAGAGCAUAUGUAAAUAGAAGGGUCAACGUCUUCUCAACUUACAGAGAAACAGGAUGGUCAGGGGAUAGGAUAAUGGAAAGAGAGCGCCCUUAAGGCAGAAGGGGUCUAAGAGACUUUCAUUCAUAUGGAUGCAAAAAUCCUAAAUAAAAUACUAACAGUAUAUCAAAAAAAGUAUGCAUUGGAACCAAACAAGAUUUAUAUUAGGAAUGCAGUGAUGGUUUAAUAUAAGGAAAAUUAUCAAUAUAAUUGAUUAUAUUAAUAACAAAAGUAACAAAAAUCAUACGACUAUAUCAGCAGAUACAGAAAAAACUUUUGACAAAAUUCGACACUGAUUUGUAUUAAAAUUAUUGGAAAGCAUAAAUACAGGUUUUUUUUCUUAAAAUUUAUACAAAACAUCUCCCUAAAACCAUCUGCAAAUAUUAUGGGUAAUGGGAAGAAGCAAGAAGCCUUCCCAAUAAGAUUAGGAGUGAAACAAGGAUGAACACUAUACCAAUGUUAACCUGGCCACUGUAAAAAUGGAGACUUGAAUCCAGGACUUCAAUCCCCAGAAGUCCUUGCUCCACUUCCCCAGAAUGCCUUGUAACCCCACCUGGGCCGAGUGAUGGGAUAUUUAACCUGGUUGUAAAAAGGCUCUGCAUUUUUUCCUACUUCUGCUUGGGAGCUGAUGCAGCUCUCCACCUAGCAGGCAAGAUGUGAGUGGUCGUGAAUAGGCUCUUUGGGUCUAGACACGUGCCUCUCUUACUUGUAUUUUCUUUAUAUUUUGACCUUUAAUAAACCUCUAAAAAUAUCA
Monodelphis domestica (gray short-tailed opossum) is the source of this 1309-nucleotide long non-coding RNA. RefSeq lists it as uncharacterized. NCBI's taxonomy places the organism in Eukaryota, Metazoa, Chordata, Mammalia, Didelphimorphia, Didelphidae. The record is from RefSeq and is a predicted model, not a curated record.